RNAcentral lists this transfer RNA (125 nucleotides) under Chondromyces crocatus. It matches the Rfam family "tRNA". From Rfam's summary of the family: Transfer RNA (tRNA) molecules are approximately 80 nucleotides in length. Their secondary structure includes four short double-helical elements and three loops (D, anti-codon, and T loops). Further hydrogen bonds mediate the characteristic L-shaped molecular structure. tRNAs have two regions of fundamental functional importance: the anti-codon, which is responsible for specific mRNA codon recognition, and the 3' end, to which the tRNAs corresponding amino acid is attached (by aminoacyl-tRNA synthetases). tRNAs cope with the degeneracy of the genetic code in two manners: having more than one tRNA (with a specific anti-codon) for a particular amino acid; and 'wobble' base-pairing, i.e. permitting non-standard base-pairing at the 3rd anti-codon position. Lineage: Bacteria; Pseudomonadati; Myxococcota; Polyangiales; Polyangiaceae. The record is from Rfam by way of RNAcentral.
GCCGCUAUAGCUCAACGGGUAGAGCAACAGCCCGUCUUCACAUCUUUGCCCGGUCACGGGCCGAACGAGGACGGUUACCACCCUUCAUACCGGUGAAGAUGCGGGUUCGAGUCCCGCCAGCGGCA